RNAcentral lists this long non-coding RNA (5659 nucleotides) under Phaseolus vulgaris (common bean). RNAcentral's name for it is "long non-coding RNA (PVUL_LNC004801)". The record is from RNAcentral. Lineage: Eukaryota; Viridiplantae; Streptophyta; Magnoliopsida; Fabales; Fabaceae.
AAAAUUUCAUUCGUUCUCUUUGGUGUUGUGGUCUCUGUUAUUUUGGUAUAUGGAUUUUGCCUUAGUUUUGUUUGUAUUGCGCGGGUGAUUCGGUUUUGUUGGUAUUGUUUUGGUGAUUGUUGUGCUUCUUUCUUACCAGUUUCCUUCUUGAUCAAGUUUGUCUAGGGUUUUGGCGAAUUAUAUGAUGUUUGCGAUGGAUUGGUGUGGUUUUCUUGGAUUUUCGGAUUGCUAAUUCAGAAUAACCUAAUUUCUUUUCCAAUUUCCUUUCUAUUAUUUAGCUUCUCUGGUAUUGAUGACCGAUUAUUUUCUUAUGCGUUUAUUCGUGACUGGCUAUUUGAUGUCGGAGACUUAUCAAUUUGGUGUGUUAUUUGUGUUUAUUCCUAUUUGGUGUGUUUAUCCUGAUUUCUCGAUGAGUUUCCUUUCUAUUACGUAAUUUCUCUUGAUUUGAUCACCAAACGUCGGAUUGAAUUUUCAAUUGUUUCUCUACGCAGCGUUGUUUGGAUUAUUUCCGUUUAGUGUUAUCAGCAUCUCAUGGAGCAUGUUAUGAGCGACCGUGUCUCCCUUGGUUUUUUUAAUUCUUAAAUUGAUCUAAUUUUUUAUAAACUGUGUCCUCUAUUACCAGUUAUAGUAUUACCAGUUAUAGUUUUCUUGAAUUCUUGUUCUUUGCAGAGAUGUGAGAGAUGUGUGGGUUAGGAUGUGCAAAACAGUGGCGGGAGAUUCCUUGAACAGUGAAGCAUUAGUUGUUCUUUUUACUCUUACAUUAAUUUUUUCUUUUGCAUUAAUUCUUGAUUGGAUGAACUUUCGGGUUUAUUUUUAUUUUUUUCUUCUUAGGCAUAACCAAAUUUAUAAUGGAAGGCCAAAGAAUCUCCAAUUUUAGGAGAUGAUCAUGACCACUGGAUGGAAUAAUGACAUUUGUUCUUUUAGCAGUUUCUACUAUGGUGAUCUUUAGGGAUAAAUUGAAAAGGGUAACAAGUAUAAGUAAAUUUAUUUUUUUCUUUGAUUACACAUUUGUUGGUUUCUUGACAUUUUGUGAACCCUUUUUUCUUGCAGUGUGAUUGGAGUAGUUUUGGGUCGGUAUUCUAUUUGAACUGGAUUUUGUAUUCUCAAAUUUGCUUUGUGUUUCCACUUCUCGUCGGUCUAGUAUGUUAUUCCCACCGCUUCAUACCAAGCUCUAACUUUAUGCCUGGUGUUCUGUUGAUAUUUCCAUAUCAGGAAUGGUUUGGAUAUGUUUUGAGUACUACGAUCUUCAAUGUGCUGGGGAUUAAACGUGAAAUGGCAACUGCACAAAAUAACAUAAUUUCUUGAAAUGUUUCCUCUACUAUUAUUUAACUUCGCUGGUAUUGAUAACCGAACAUUUGGAUUGAAUUGUGAUUUCUUUCGAUGCAGCAGGUUUGUCUUAAUCGAGCCUUCUGCGAAUACGUCUGCAUUGGUUUUUGUAUUCUUGAAUUUAUUAAUUCAUUUUAUCUUUUCUUAAAUUCUUGGUCUUUACGUGCAAGACAAGCAAUGGAUGUGGAAACUUUAGAAGGAGAUCCUAUGAAGCUUUAGGUUUUAUUACCCUUACAUCUUCUGAUGCGUUUAUAUUUACAUUGACGGAUAUCCAUUUGAAUUUGAAUACAGUUCUUCAUUUGAUUACGUCUAGGUGUUGAACUGUUUAUGUGUAGGUGUUGAACUGUUUAUGUUCAUUCCUUUCUUGCUUGUCGAGAAUCUAAGAUUGGUGGAGGAUUAAAAUCCCGCAGUGUUUACAUCGACCAACGAUUCAGGAUUACCUGAGUUCUUUUGAGUUUUCUUCUAUUUUUGACUUUCGGGAUUUUAUAACCUAAUAUGAUCACUCCUAAUUGUUUUCUUGAAUUGUUCGGCCUUACUGGGAACACAAUCGUGACUGACUUGUGAGCUAGGAUGUGGAAACUUUAGCCAGGGAAUCUGUGAAGCUUUAGGUUUUGCUUUCUUUUCUAUUAUCAUUUAUUGUUUAUGAAUAUCAGACUCUAACAAUAAAAAGUCACCUUAAUUGUCAGAUUUGCUCUUCUUUCUCUUUGAAAUGUCCUCUUGUAUGAGACUUCAUUUGCUGGAUGAGCAUUUAUAAAUUUAAAUGCUUGAUUUUUGCUCAAUCUUAAUCCCUUGCUGAUUUUAAACAGAACUGCUUUCAGAAUAAGAAUUGUUUGAGCGCUAUCAUCUACAUUGAAACGACAACUGCUCAAGAUAACUUUAAUUUCUUCUACUAUUUAACUUCGCUGGACUUGAUCAACGAACAUUAGGAUUGAAUUGUGAUUUGUUUCUCUGCAGAAGUGUUUAUAUUAGAUUCGUGCAGUGUACCUGCAUCUUAUAUAGUCUCUCGGAUCCUGUGGAGCUUUAGGUUUUGUUACCCACACAUUUCCUAAUGUGUUUUAUUUCUGGCAUUUGAUCACCUGACAUAAGGAUUUAACUGCCAUUUGUUUCUUCAGAGGUGUUUCGGUAUCUUUCGUUUCUACAUUUCGUUGGUCUAGCAUCAGUAUAUUUCUCCAGUAGUUCUGCUUGGCCUAGCAUCAAUAUUUCACCAAUAGUUCUGCUUGAUUUGGGUCGCUCUCAUUGAACUGAAGUCCAUCAAAUAUAAAAUGUUAGACAUUGAGUUCAAAUUAAGAUUAGCAUAUCAUGGAGCAUGUUAUGAGCGAUCUUGUCUGCCUUGUUUUUUUAAUUCUUAAAUUUAUAUAAUUUGUUCUAAACUUAGUCCUCUAUUACCAGUUAUAGUUUUCUUGAAUUCUUGUUCUUUGUAGAGAUGUGUGGGAUAGGAUGUGCAAAACAGUGGCAGGAGAUUCCUUUAACAAUGAAACAUUAGUAGUUCUUUUUACUCUUACAUUACUUUUUUUUUCUGUUGCAUUAAUUCUUGAUUGGAUGAACUUCUCGGUUUUAUUUUUAUUUUUUUCUUCUUAGGCAUAACCAAAUUUAUAAUGGAAGACCAAAGAAUAUCCAAUUUUAGCAGAUGAUCAUGACCACUGGAUGACAUUUGUUCUUGUAUCAGUUUGCUCUAUGGUGAUCUUUAGGGUAUCAAUAAAUUGAAAAGGGUAACAAGUAUAGGUAAAUUUAAGAUUGUUUUUAUUACGCAUUUUGUUGGUUUCUUUAAGGUUUUUGUGAACCUUUUUUUCUUGCAGUGUUCGUUCGACUAGUUUUGGGUCUGUACUCUAUUUUAGAAUGGAUUUUGGUGAUCUUUAGGGUAUGAAUACUUGUUAACGGUAACAAGUAUAGGUAAAUAUAAGAUUUUUUUUAUUAUGCAUUUGUUGGUUUCUUCUUGACAAUUUUGUGAACCAUUUUUUCUUGCAGUGUUCGUUCGACUAGUUUUGGGUCGGUAUUCUAUUUUAGAAUGGAUUUUGGUGAUCUUUAGGUAUGAAUAAAUUGAAAAGGGUAACAAAUGUAGGUAAAUUAACGAUUUUUUUUUAUUACGCAUAUUGUUGGUUUCUUGACGAUUUUGUGAACCUUUUUUUCUUGCAGUGUUCGGUCGACUAGUUUUGGGUCAGUAUUCUAUUUUAGACUGGAUUUUGUAUGCUCAAAUUUGCUUUCUGUUUCCACUUUUCCUCGGUCUAGUAUGUUCUUCCCUCCCCUUCAGUGAGUGUGUGGUUGGUUGUUGAUGCAGUAGGUGUCUUCUUACAUGAUUUGGUGAUCUCCACUAUUUAUCCUGAAUCUUGGAUUUUAAUUUGUACUACACACUGACCUCUAUCUUAUUGCUGGUUAUAUUUCUCAAUUUUAAUCCCUUGAUGAUUUGUUCAGUCUCAAAAAAAGCUCUAUAUUAGGUAAAUUUUAUGCCCGGUUCUAUUGUGUGAUCAUUCUGAACUUUUUCUUCUGUGAGUUUUGUUUUUUCCUUAUAUCCGUAUCAGGAAUGGUUCCAAUCUUCUGUGGAGUGGAGUAGUUUGAGCAACAAUAUUAGUUUGCAAUUGGAGGAUUACUCUCGGUACUUUUUAAUAUGAUCUAUACUAGUAUUUCCAAUUUAAUUGGAUAUCUUUUUUCUUAACAGUGCUUUUGGAAUAUAUGUUUGAGUACUACGAUCUACAUGAAGCUGGGUAUUAACAAUCAUUUCUGGAAUAUAUAGCAUAAUUUCUUCUAACUACUAUCAGUUGCCUGCUCAAGAUAAACUAAUUUCCUCUACUAUUAUUUAACUUCGCUGGAGUUGGUAACCGAACAUUUGGAUUGAAUUGUGUUUUCUUUCGCUGCAGCAGUUUUGUAUUAAUUUUGUGUACUGGGUGUGGAAAUUUUAGAAGACAAGUUCCGAGAGUUAUUGGCGUGGAAACUUUAGCAGGAGACCCUCUGAGCUCUAGGUUUUGUUACCAUUACAUUUUCUGAUGCGUUUUUUUUUUGCAAGGAUAUCUAUUUUGAAUUUGCGCGUCGAAAUAAGAUUGUUCGAGUAUUAAAAUCCUAAAUUUGUUUUUUUGGGAUUUGAUCACCUAACAUACAUGAUCACUGAAUUGUCAUUUGUUCCACCAUUUAUCUCAUCGAGCAUGCUGAAAGAUGACAUCUCCUUUUGAUGCUGUUUCCUUUUUGUUUUGAAGUUGUCUUAUUGUUUCUAUUCUUAGUCUUUUGAUUAGUGAAAUCUAUCAAAUCUAGCUGUUUGAUCUGUGAUUAUGUUCAUUCCUUUUCAGGUUAAAAAAUAAUUCUAAUGUUGAGGGGUAAUAUAAUUUUUUGGAUGAGUUUCCUUUCUGUCAUUUAAUAUCUUUGGACUGGAUCAUCAAAUAUAAGGAUUCAAUUGUGAUUUGUUUUCCGCAGCAAUGUUUGGUGGAUUUGUUUCGUGUAACAUUCCUCUCAUCGAGGAAAUCUUACAAGUGAAGACAUCUCCCUCUGAUUUUUCUACUUUGUAGUUUUCUUCAAUUUUUGGGCCUUACGGGGAAGACAACCAACUGAUAUGUGAGCUAGGAUGUGGAAGCCAGGGGAUCUGUGAUGCUUUAGGUUUUGUUACCCUUGCUUUUCUUAUGUCUUAAUCUUUGACUAGUUAAACUUAUGAUGCUUUAAUUUAAAGUCUUGUGUGAUUUAAUUUUGUAAAAGGGAAAGAGAAGAUAUGAGGGAAACAAAAUAUCAUGGCCAUUACAGUUUUGUCUCGAAGCUAUUUUUAAUUUAGACCUGCCGUUUCUCGAAGCUAUUUUUCUCAUCGCAAAAUUUAAUCCUCUUACUUUGCUUUCUUUUGUAUUUUCAUUUAUUGUUUAUGAAUAUCAGACUAUAACAAUAGUAAGUCACCUUAAUUGUCAGAUUUGCCUCUCUGAAUUGCUCAAUCGUAAUCCCUUGCUGUUUUUAAACAGCACUGUUUUGGAAUAGGAUUUGUUUGAGCGUGUUAUCAUCUACAUGAAGCUGGAACGUGAAACGGCAACUGCUCAAGAUAACCUUCUACGAGUUCGCCGGACUUGAUCAUCUAACAUUAGGAUUGUAUUCCUCUCUAUUAUUAUGUUUCUCUGCACUCGAUCACCGAACAUAAAGUUAUAAAUAAUUUGCGCCUAUUAACAUUUAUUUGUUUUUAUUUCUUUUACCCUUUUGGGAUCUUUUUUUUUGUACUACAGUGAUCCUCCUUUAAAUUGACAUAAAAUGGUGGUUGAAUAUAGAAAGAAAAACUCUUGCUAUGGAUAGGUCUGCAUCUUUGGAAGGUUAAAUUUCUUAUGCCGUAUUCCAAAUUCUAUUAAAAUUUCUCUCAAUGUUAAUUGAUUUAUCUUUA